This 430-nucleotide ribosomal RNA is filed under the name Enantiulus nanus. RNAcentral describes it as "partial 16S ribosomal RNA". Lineage: Eukaryota; Metazoa; Arthropoda; Diplopoda; Julida; Julidae. The record is from RNAcentral.
AUGGCUUUUUGGGGUUUAAUAAAAAGUUUGGCCUGCACACUGAUUCGUUAAAGAGCUGCAGUAUUUUGACUGUACAAAGGUAGCACAAUCAUUAGUCCUUUAAUUGUGGACUGGUAUGAAAGGUUAGACAAAUAGAUAUUGUUUCAAACUUAUUGAUUGAAUUUGACUUUUAUGUUAAAAGGCAUAGAUGUAACUAAAAGACAAGAAGACCCUGUUAAACUUGAUUUAAUUGUGUUUAGGUGGUUAUAUAAAGAAAUUUAACUUAAUUAUAUAAAUUUUGCUGGGGCGGUCAGUGUAUUUUAUCUACAUUAGUAAUAAAUUUGAGUUAAGAGAUGUUUAUGUGAGCCUUGCUAAGGCUAAUAGAAAAAGUUACUAAAGGGAUAACAGCGUAAUGUGUUUUGCGAGUUCUUAUCAACAAAUACGUUUUCGA